UUUGAUAGCCCACUACACCCGCUAUCCGCCCGGGUACUACGAGCACUAGCUUAAAACCCAAAGGACUUGGCGGUGCUUUAGAUCCACCUAGAGGAGCCUGUUCUAGAACCGAUAACCCCCGUUAAACCUCACCCUCUCUUGUUCUUCCCGCCUAUAUACCGCCGUCGUCAGCUUACCCUAUGAAGGAGCCACAGUAAGCAGAACUAGCACAACUCAAAACGCCAGGUCGAGGUGUAGCAUAUGAGAGGGGAAGAAAUGGGCUACAUUCCCUACCACAGGGAAUACGAACAAUGUAAUGAAAUACGCAUUAGAAGGAGGAUUUAGCAGUAAGCAGAAAAUAGAGCG
Molecule: ribosomal RNA, 345 nt
Filed under: Oreochromis tanganicae
Lineage: Eukaryota; Metazoa; Chordata; Actinopteri; Cichliformes; Cichlidae
Description: partial 12S ribosomal RNA
Rfam family: Bacterial small subunit ribosomal RNA
Source: RNAcentral